RNAcentral lists this long non-coding RNA (846 nucleotides) under Vitis vinifera (wine grape). Its description in RNAcentral is "long non-coding RNA (VVIN_LNC007379)". The record is from RNAcentral. Lineage: Eukaryota; Viridiplantae; Streptophyta; Magnoliopsida; Vitales; Vitaceae.
ACACCUUAUCUCUCUAAAACGAUUAGAAAUUUAUGGAUGCUCGAGGCUCCAAUCAUUGACAGAAGCGGGUCUUCAACACCUCACCUCUCUUGAAAAAUUGGAGAUCGCAAACUGCCCAAUGCUCCAAUCCUUGACAAAAGUGGGUCUUCAACACCUCACCUCUCUUAAAACACUAGGGAUCAAUAACUGCCGAAUGCUCCAAUCCUUGACAGAAGUGGGUCUUCAACACCUCACCUCUCUUGAAAGUUUGUGGAUCAAUAACUGCCCAAUGCUCCAAUCCUUGACAAAAGUGGGUCUUCAACACCUCACCUCUCUUGAAAGUUUGUGGAUCAAUAAGUGCUCAAUGCUCCAAUCCUUGACAAAAGUGGGUCUUCAACACCUCACCUCUCUCAAAACAUUGCGGAUCUAUGACUGUAGUAAGCUCAAAUACUUGACAAAAGAGAGACUUCCAGACUCCCUCUCUUAUCUGUUCAUCUACAAAUGUCCUUUACUGGAAAAACGGUGUCAAUUUGAGAAAGGGGAAGAAUGGCGUUAUAUAGCUCACAUUCCAAAUAUAGAGAUCAAUGGUGUGCUAUAUUAAUCAAAGUGCCACUCCGCCAAUAUAGAGUCAGGUAAUUCUUUUGCGCUUGAACUUUUCUUUCAAGUUCCAAUUCAUUCGCUAGUCCUGUUUAUUUGAUUUAAGAUUUUCUUUUUCUUGAAGCUUCAAGCCUGAAACAAAUAUUGAACACAUUUUCAUGCUCUGUUUUGAUUUGGUGGUUUGCAAAAAUAACCAUUUAUAACCAUUGAAAAAAUAAGAAAAAAUAACAAAGAACCAUGGAUAUUUCGUUUGUUUGUAUUUUAUUUUCU